Molecule: ribosomal RNA, 422 nt
Filed under: uncultured bacterium
Lineage: Bacteria
Description: bacterial SSU rRNA
Rfam family: Bacterial small subunit ribosomal RNA
Source: RNAcentral
AGAAUUUUUCACAAUGGGGGAAACCCUGAUGGAGCGACGCCGCGUGGGGGAUGAAUGGCUUCGGCCCGUAAACCCCUGUCAUUCGCGAACAAUGCUCCGAGCCUAAUACGUUCGGAGUUGAUAGUAGCGGAAGAGGAAGGGACGGCUAACUCUGUGCCAGACGCCGCGGUAAUACAGAGGUCCCAAGCGUUGUUCGGAUUCACUGGGCGUAAAGGGUGCGUAGGUGGUCGAGUAAGUCUGAUGUGAAAUCUCCGAGCUCAACUCGGAAAUGGCAUUGGAAACUACCCGGCUUGAGAGUUGGAGGGGGGACUGGAAUUCUCGGUGUAGCAGUGAAAUGCGUAGAUAUCGAGAGGAACACCAGUGGCGAAGGCGAGUCCCUGGACAACAUCUGACACUGAGGCACGAAAGCUAGGGGAGCAAAC